Molecule: ribosomal RNA, 471 nt
Filed under: uncultured bacterium
Lineage: Bacteria
Description: partial 16S ribosomal RNA
Rfam family: Bacterial small subunit ribosomal RNA
Source: RNAcentral
GACGAACGCUGGCGGCGUGCUUAACACAUGCAAGUCGAACGAUGAGGCGGGUGCUUGGAGGCGUGGACUAGUGGCGAACGGGCGAGUAACACGUGAGUAACCUGUCCUUUUCUUUGGGAUAACUGCUGGAAACGGCUGCUAAUACUGGAUAUUCAGGCUGCCUCGCAGGGGGGGGUUGGGAAAGGUUGUUUGUGGGGGGGGGUGGCCCCGCUGCUUAUCAGGUUGUUGGUGGGGUGGUGGCUUACCAAGUCUUUGGCGGGUAGGCGGGCUGGGAGGGUGGGGGCCGAGAUACGGCCCAGACUACGGCCGGGGGUAGUAGGGGAGACUACUGCGCAAUGGACUACAGAUUGAGGCAGCGACGGCGGGUGGAGGGUGGAGUCCGUCGUGUUGUGAACUGCUUUGUCUCGCGAAAAAGCCAGAGUUGUGGCGGGGUUGAUGGUAGUGGGUGAAGAAGCGCCGGCUAACUACGUG